UACGAAGGGGGCUAGCGUUGUUCGGAAUCACUGGGCGUAAAGCGCGCGUAGGCGGUCAUGCAAGUCAGGGGUGAAAGCCUGAGGCUCAACCUCAGAACUGCCUUUGAAACUGCAUGACUGGAGUCUUGGAGGGGGUAGGGGAAUUCCUAGUGUAGAGGUGAAAUUCGUAGAUACUAGGAGGAACACCGGAGGCGAAGGCGCCUACCUGGACAAGUACUGACGCUGAGGUGCGAAAGCGUGGGGAUCAAACAGG
RNAcentral lists this ribosomal RNA (253 nucleotides) under uncultured bacterium. RNAcentral describes it as "partial 16S ribosomal RNA". It matches the Rfam family "Bacterial small subunit ribosomal RNA", at positions 524 to 776 of the family's 1533-position model. The record is from RNAcentral.